AUGGCGAUCGAGACGGAGCCCGCCGCACCGCCCGGCCUCUUGGGCCCUCUGGUAGUGCACAGCGCGCGCCCGCCCGCCGACUCAGCCGCCGACCCCGCGUCGCACCCCUUCCUCGACCUCCUCGACGCGGCCUUCAACGCGCCGUCGGACGCGGAGAUCAAGGCGGCGCCUGCGCUGACGCUGACGCCGUGGAGGGCGCUCACGGAGAACUGCUCGCCCACGUACGCCAACUCGGGCAACCCCUGCGUCGACUUCUUCUUCCAGGUGGUGCCCGACACGCCAGCCGAGCGCGUGCGCGGCCUGCUCGCCGCCGCCUGGGCCCACGACGCGCUCACGGCGCUCAAGCUCGCCUGCAACCUCCGCGGCGUCCGCGGCACCGGCAAGUCGGACAAGGAGGGCUUCUACGCCGCCGCGCUCUGGAUGCACGAGCACCACCCCCGGACGCUCGCCUGCAACGUCGCCGCGCUCGCCGAGUUCGGCUACCUCAAGGACUUCCCCGAGCUGCUCUUCCGCCUCAUCCACGGCCCCGACGUGCGCAAGGUCGCCAAGGCGGCCGCCGAGGCCGAGAAGGCGCGGAAGAAGGAGAAGGCGCUCGGCGGGCGGCCCUCCGCGCCAGGCUGGCCAGCCGGCGGAGAAAGAGAAGGUUUGUCUGCGUGGACGAAGACGAACUGGACUUCUGUUCCACUGCCACCGCUGCCACCAAGGCCACCUUCGGCGAUUUCCUUGCCGCUGCGCUCUACAACCGGACUUUCAGAUCCCGGGUGUCUAGACACCCCGUUAUCUGGACCGUUCGUCCAGUCUGGCUGCGUUGAGAUUUGUGCCAAGCUAUCUAACCAAUGA
Molecule: ribosomal RNA, 840 nt
Filed under: Triticum aestivum (bread wheat)
Lineage: Eukaryota; Viridiplantae; Streptophyta; Magnoliopsida; Poales; Poaceae
Description: partial small subunit ribosomal RNA
Source: RNAcentral